This 460-nucleotide ribosomal RNA is filed under the name uncultured bacterium. Its description in RNAcentral is "partial 16S ribosomal RNA". It matches the Rfam family "Bacterial small subunit ribosomal RNA", at positions 338 to 795 of the family's 1533-position model. The record is from RNAcentral.
CCUACGGGAGGCAGCAGUGAGGAAUAUUGGUCAAUGGGCGCAAGCCUGAACCAGCCAAGUAGCGUGAAGGAUGACUGCCCUACGGGUUGUAAACUUCUUUUGUAAAGGAAUAAAGUGAGGCACGUGUGCCUUUUUGUAUGUACUUUAUGAAUAAGGAUCGGCUAACUCCGUGCCAGCAGCCGCGGUAAUACGGAGGAUCCGAGCGUUAUCCGGAUUUAUUGGGUUUAAAGGGAGCGUAGAUGGGUGGUUAAGUCAGUUGUGAAAGUCUGCGGCUCAACCGUAAAAUUGCAAUUGAUACUGGCAGUCUUGAGUAUAGUUGAGGUAGGCGGAAUUUGUGGUGUAGCGGUGAAAUGCUUAGAGAUCACGCAGAACUCCGAUUGCGAAGGCAGCUUACUAAGCUGCUACUGACAUUGAUGCUCGAAAGUGUGGGUAGCAAACAGGAUUAGAUACCCUAGUAGUC